Molecule: long non-coding RNA, 1378 nt
Filed under: Homo sapiens (human)
Lineage: Eukaryota; Metazoa; Chordata; Mammalia; Primates; Hominidae
Description: HSALNT0300978
Source: RNAcentral
ACUUUCACAUGUGAGGACAUGGUGAGAAGACAGCAAUCUGUGAACCAGACAGCAGGCCCUCACCAGGCACCAAAUCAACUGAUGCCUUGACCUUGGACUUCUCAGCCUCCAGAACUGUGAGCUAUACAUUGCUGUUGUUUAUAAUCACCCAGUCUAUGGCAGUUUUUAUAGCAGCUUGAAAGGACUAAGAGAAUUACUUUUAUCUCUUCCCCCCACCCACAUACAUGCUAAGGAAGGCCUUGUACUGGUUUUAGAGCCCUGGACGGAGCUCCAGGUGACAUGGGCCUUCCUGGUUCUACCACCGACCUGCUGGGGGUUUCAGCAAGCCUUCACCUUCCACGUUGGCGUUCUCAGCUCUAAGAAAAGGAAGUUGAUUUCCAUGAGAGGUGAUCAAACUGUGCUGUAGAAACCUCAGCGAUUCCACAGAACAUUAGAGUACCUCUGCCAAGCAGAAUUCUCCACAUGGAGAAACCUCCCCUCUUACUGAUUUUAUAUGCCAUGCAUGUCAACGCUCUGGGGAAGAUUUUUUGCUUGAGAAAAAAAAAAAAUUCUUGCUGAUUAAAGAAAAACAACCCUGGAAAGUGCUGAAUAUGGUAUCUAUGCAUUUAUUAUGGAAAUCUAGAUAGUUUGCACUGAGAUCAUAGAUGGUUCUCAUAGAAUGGGACUAGGAGGAUUCAAGGAAAGAAGACCUGCUUCCUGUUUCCCAGCCCGUAAACCCUUGCUGUUGUUUUCAAGAUUUUUAUGAUCCUUUCUGGGCUGUGAUGAGAGGGCCUGGCAGGGGAGCCGGCUGCCUCCUUAUCGAAGACUCCCUGCCUCAGUGCCUAGAGCCAGGCUCAGCCCUGGUGAGGAGGGACAAUCCUGGCUGGGUAGGUCAGGCAGCUAAAAGUUGGGGGUCAGGUCCCCUACUUCAGCGGUCCCUAACCUUUUUGGCAUCAGGGAAGACAAAAAUCGGAAGACAAUUUUUCCACAAACUGGAGAUGGAGGGAUGGUUUCGGGAUGACUCAAGCACAUUACAUUUUUGGUGCACUUUAUUUCUAUUAUUAUUACGUUGUAAUAUAUAAUGAAAUAAUGAUCUAACUCACCAUAAUGUAGAAUCAGUGGGAGCCCUGAGCUUGUUUGCCUGCAACUAGAUGGUCCCACCUUCAGGGGAUGAGAGACAGUGAUAGAUCGUCAGGCAUUAGAUUCUCAUAAGGAGCACACAACCAAGAUCUCUUGAAUGAGCAAGGGCUCGCAUGCACAAUGGGGCUCGCACUCCUGUGAGAAUCUAAUGCUGCCGCUGAUCUGACAGGAGGUGAAGCUCAGGCAGUAGUGCCAGCAAUGGGGAGUGGCUGUAAAUACAGAUGAAGCUUUACUGGCCUGCUGCUCACCUUCUGCUGUG